AGUCAAGGGGAGUCCGGCUAUCAAUAAGCUCGUUUUGCGACCUAGCCAGUCGACGAUGAAAGCUGCCAGAAUGCAUCCGGGUAUGGUACCCAAAAGAUAAAAUGAGGCGAUCCAAGAGGCGUCGUCUGAUGUUAUCGAGAUAGCGAUGAAACGCACUAACGCUACCACAGGAAAAGCGACGAAUCUCCACGAGCCUAACGACACCCGGAUUUUAAUGCAUUGCAGAUAGAGUGACAGUGUAUUUAUGGCGCCGUGGAUUUUAUAUGUUACUUUAUCAGUGCUUUCCUUAUCAGUGAUUCGUGUCGAAUCUGUUGUCCCCACUCACAUUAUAUGAGGAUGUGUUUGCUACUACUCUUUGUUCUCUGAACGAGGAAGGACGAAUAGAUUGAAUAUAGAAUUAUUUUUACGCAAGUGUAUUUUCUUCUACGCACCACCUGCGAACACUAUAUGUUUGACUGUUUGAGAAGACAACAGAUCUUAUGCGAACUUAAUUAACAUAAGGGUAUAAUAAAAGUAUUAUAUAAGUCUGAAUUAUAUAACAUUACAUUUUGAAGAACAGUAUGACGUGGUAUCUGCCUUAUCAUAGUAUAUAAUAAAGUGCGUUCAUA
Molecule: long non-coding RNA, 608 nt
Organism: Ooceraea biroi (clonal raider ant)
Lineage: Eukaryota; Metazoa; Arthropoda; Insecta; Hymenoptera; Formicidae
Source: RefSeq, a predicted model, not a curated record